Molecule: long non-coding RNA, 3091 nt
Filed under: Homo sapiens (human)
Lineage: Eukaryota; Metazoa; Chordata; Mammalia; Primates; Hominidae
Description: HSALNT0384221
Source: RNAcentral
AGGAAAGGCGAGGCUCUGCAUCUAGAUUUACCUCGUUCUCUUUUGUCUCCGCUUUUUUUUCACAUUUCCUUGCGACCCUGGCCCUUGAGCGACAAAAAGGGGAAGCCAAGGCUGGCCCGAGGAACGGAGAGGGCACAUGGCCUAGCCACAAGUGGAGCUUCUGCUCCGCCCGAAGGGAUGCGCUGGAGCGGCCUCUUCCUUCUGCCACGGUCUUUCUUUGCCAACUAGUAGGUGAGGGCCGAAAGGCCGCGGGCCGUGGAGCUCGGGCCGGGGAGACUCUUUUCUAGCCUCUUGGGUCCCGCUCCUCCCAAUUCCCUGGAGAGGCGUCGAGCUUGCUGGGAAGUGCCCUCGGGUAAGGGGCGCGGAGCCUCCUGCGGCGAUCCUCUGUCUUCGGGUCGCCUUAGCAGGACGCGGCAAGCGGGACACUGACCUGGCCGGAGUCCCGCGUUCUCUCACCAGCUGCUUUGUCCACGAGUUGCUGCUGGGCGUCAGGGGUCCCACGGCCCGGAGGGAUCUAGAGCAGGGGGGCUCGGGGUCCUUUCCAUACCCUCGGAUCCUCUCCCACUCUCUCCACGCCUCGACCCGGAGAUGAUUUCAGGCUCCAGAUCUCUUUCAUAAAUGGAAAGAGUUUUUUUGGUUUGUUUUGUCUUAAUUAUGUAGGUGUUGCAUGCUUGGAAGAGAAAAUUUAGAAAAUUAAUUGGAAAACCAUAAAGAUAGCUUUCUCGUGAUAGCCACAAGGCUUGCUCCCUCAUUCUGCUCAUAUGUCACCCCCUCAAGGAGGCCUUCCCCAGCUCUGUAAACAACCUGUGCUCGGCGUUAACUUUUCUCCCUAAUGUUUAUCACUACCUGACAUAUACGUGUUUCCCACGACUCAACGAUAAGUGUUCAUGAGGGCAGACACUUUUUAAUGCCCUAUGACAAGCACCUAGAAUUGUGCCUGGCACAUGGUAGAUGCUUAGUAAAUAUUUGUUUAAUGAAUGAAGGUAAAAAACAUUUCUAAUACGACCAUCCAGGAAUAAGUACUAUUCAUGUUUUAGUGUGUUCUUACAGUUUUACUGUUCAGACAGUUAUAUGCCUGUGAAUAUAUAUUAUAUAUGUGUGUAUAUAUAUAUAUAUAUAUAUAUAUAUAUUUUUUUUUUUUUUUUGAGACAGAGUCUCGCUCUGUCACCCAGGCUGGACUGCAGUGGCGCGAUCUUGGCUCACUGCAACCUCCGCCUCCUGGAUUCAAGCGAUUCUUCUGCCUCAGCCUCCCGAGUAGCUAGGAUUACAGGCAUGUGUCACCACGCCCGGCUAAUUUUGUAUUUUUAGUAGAGACGGGGUUUCUCCGUGUUGGUCAGGCUGGUCUCGAACUCCUGACCUCAGGUGAUCUGCCCGCCUCGGCCUCCCAAAGUGCUGAGAUUACAGACGUGAGCCACCGUGCCUGGCGGAAUUUUCAUAUUUUAAGUCCCCCACCCUUGGACAUUUAGAUUUUUUCCAUCUUUCUGUAUUUGCAGAUAUGCUUCUACGUACACCUUUAUUCAUUUGCUUGAACAUUUCCCUGAGAAAAACUAGAAAUGGAAUUGCCAGAUUACUUUGUGUACAUGUUUCCAAACUGUCCUCCAGAAAGAAUGUAAUGCUUUGAACUUCCACUUGAGAAUCAAAUGUUUACCUUCCUCUGUUCCUCCAGAUUUGGACAUUUACAGUGUUCAGCCGUUGUUGUGGCAUUCCAAUUCAAUUGGGAAACAGCUUGAUGUAGCGUCCCCAUAAGGUCCACAGUAAUUAAAUUUUUUUUUUUUUUUUUUGGUGCGGUAGUGCAAUUUCAUGGCUCACUGCAACCUCCACCUCCCAGGUUCAAGCGAUCCUCCCAUCUCAGCCUCCCUAGUAGCUGGGAUUACAGGUGCACGCCACCACACCAGGCUAAUUUUUGUAUUUUUAGUAGAGAUGGGGUUUCACCAGGUUAGCCAGGCUGGUCUUGAACUCCAGACCUCAAGGGAUCCGCCUGCCUCAGCUUUCCAAAGUGCUGGGAUUACAGGUGAGAACCACUGCACCCAUCCUAUUAAACUUUUAAAUCAUGAUAGUUACCAUGUAUAGAGUGUUUAUAUGCCAGGCAUUGAGCUAAGUCUUUUACGUCUUGCGCUCAUUCUGUGCAACAGCCCAAUGGGAGAAAUUCCAUGAAUAUAGUUACCAUUUCCUUGAUUUCUAGAGAAGCUGGAUAUGUUUUCUUUUUUUCCAGUAUUAUUUCUAUUUAUCCUUUUGUGAAUUGUCUGUUGUUAUUUUCAUUGGAAUAUUCUCUUUUUUUGACAGAGUCUCACUCUGUUGCCCAGGCUGGAGUGCAAUGGCACGAUCUCGGCUCAUUGCAAACCUCUGCCUCCUGGGUUCAAGCAAUUCUCCUGCCUCAGCCUCCCAAGUAGCUGGGAUUACAGGCACCCGCCACCACGCCCAGCUAAUUUUUUGUAUUUUUAGUAGAGACGGGGUUUUGCCAUGUUGGCCAGGCUGGUCUCGAACUCCUGACCUCAGGUGAUCCACCCAUUUCGGCCUCCCAAAGUACUGGGAUUACAGGUGGAGACUGGACCUCAGAAGAGGGAGUGGGUGCCCCGAGAACUCACAGCUAGCGGACAGUGGAAAGGGCAGGAGCCGGACCAAGGUGAGGACAGUGGAACUGAAGGCCGCUGGUUACCUCUCCUGCCCUCCGCUGGCCACAGUGGAGAAGACAGCCCCUCCCUCCUGCUCUGACCUGACAGUGUUCAUCCAUCGCCCUGUAUUAGCGAAGAACAACAUCAAGCUGGCUAGCAAGGAACUGUAUACAGGGUCCAGCUGGGUAUCACACUGGAUCUCACCCAAAGCUUAGAUGUGAUCCAGCUCAGUAUCACAAAGCAGAACGAAAAGGAUGUGUUUGGGCUGAGAGGCCAUACAUUGAUGGAGUCUUGCUCUGUCGCCCAGGCUGGAGUCCAGUGGCGCGAUCUCGGUUCACUGCAAGCUCUGCCUCCCGAGUUCAUGCCAUUCUCCUGCCUCAGCCUCCUGAGUAGCUGGGACUACAGGCACCUGCCACCACGGCUGGCUAAUUUUUUUUUUUUUUUUUUUGAAAUGGAGUCUUGCUCUGUUGCCCAGGCUG